Molecule: long non-coding RNA, 423 nt
Organism: Fukomys damarensis (Damara mole-rat)
Lineage: Eukaryota; Metazoa; Chordata; Mammalia; Rodentia; Bathyergidae
Exons: 4
Source: RefSeq, a predicted model, not a curated record
UAUUUAACAGGUCAGCUAUAGCCUGAAUGCUGCCCUCAUUAUGCUGAAUAAACACAGUCAAGUGCCAUGACAUAGAAGAGCUAUGAUAUGUUUAGAGGGUGAAGGCACAGGACUGUGCACGUACGACUAGGACACCACUGGUGAAGUCCCUUCAAGGUAGAGGAAUGCCAGGGACCUGAAGAAUCUGGGGCACUCUAGGAUAUGAGUAUGCUUCCUGCUGGCCUAUCAGGAAAGUCAUUGGACACAAAACUGGAAAUGUCUGAGACAAUGAGAAGUAUGAGUAAACACUCAAAAUGUUCCUCUUUGGAGAAAAGUCUAAAGAAGUUGAAAUGGUGAAGUUAAAUUACUCAGGAAAGGAAACUCCUGGAAACCUGGAAGAACUUGGAGGACCAAAGAACUUGGAGGACCAGAGGACUUAACGGC